AACGAGCGCUGGCGGCAUGCCUAACACAUGCAAGUCGAACGAAGCCUUCGGGCUUAGUGGCGCACGGGUGCGUAACACGUGGGAAUCUGCCCUUCGGUUCGGAAUAACAGUUAGAAAUGACUGCUAAUACCGGAUGAUGACGUAAGUCCAAAGAUUUAUCGCCGAAGGAUGAGCCCGCGUAGGAUUAGGUAGUUGGUAGGGUAAUGGCCUACCAAGCCGACGAUCCUUAGCUGGUCUGAGAGGAUGAUCAGCCACACUGGGACUGAGACACGGCCCAGACUCCUACGGGAGGCAGCAGUGGGGAAUAUUGGACAAUGGGCGAAAGCCUGAUCCAGCAAUGCCGCGUGAGUGAUGAAGGCCUUAGGGUUGUAAAGCUCUUUACCAGGGAUGAUAAUGACAGUACCUGGAGAUAAGCUACCGGCUAACUCCGUGCCAGCAGCCGCGGUAAU
RNAcentral lists this ribosomal RNA (449 nucleotides) under uncultured bacterium. Its description in RNAcentral is "bacterial SSU rRNA". It matches the Rfam family "Bacterial small subunit ribosomal RNA", at positions 29 to 524 of the family's 1533-position model. The record is from RNAcentral.